RNAcentral lists this ribosomal RNA (497 nucleotides) under uncultured bacterium. RNAcentral describes it as "partial 16S ribosomal RNA". It matches the Rfam family "Bacterial small subunit ribosomal RNA", at positions 28 to 507 of the family's 1533-position model. The record is from RNAcentral.
GAUGAACGCUGGCGGCGUGCCUAAUACAUGCAAGUCGAGCGAACGGACGAGAAGCUUGCUUUUCUGUGGUUAGCGGCGGACGGGGGAGUAACACGUGGAUAACCGACCUAUAAGACUGGGAUAACUUCGGGAAACCGGAGCUAAUACCGGAUAAUAUUUUGAACCGCAUGGUUCAAAAGUGAAAGACGGUCUUGCUGUCACUGAUAGAUGUAUCCGCGCUGCAUUAGCUAGUUGGUAAGGUAACGGCUUACCAAGGCAACGAUGCAUAGCCGACCUAAGAGGGUGUACGCCCACACUGCAACUGAGACCCCGUAACGACACCUCCGAGCGGCAGCAGUCGGGAAUCUUCCGGACUGAGCGCCAGCAUGAAAGAGCACCGCCGCGUGAGUGAUGCAGGUCUUCGGAUCGUCAAACUCUGCUAUUAGGGAAGAACAUAUGUGUAAGUAACUGUGACCAUCAUGACGGUACCACAUCAGCACGCCACGGCUAACUACGUG